RNAcentral lists this transfer RNA (72 nucleotides) under Camelus bactrianus (Bactrian camel). It matches the Rfam family "tRNA". Rfam says of the family: Transfer RNA (tRNA) molecules are approximately 80 nucleotides in length. Their secondary structure includes four short double-helical elements and three loops (D, anti-codon, and T loops). RNAcentral also lists the same sequence under 3 other names. The record is from Rfam by way of RNAcentral. Lineage: Eukaryota; Metazoa; Chordata; Mammalia; Artiodactyla; Camelidae.
GAUGGUAUAGCUCAGUGGUAGAGUGUGUGCUUAGCAUGCAUUAGGUCCUGGGUUCAAUUCCCACUAUCUCCA